AUUGAACGCUGGCGGCAGGCUUAACACAUGCAAGUCGAGCGGGGGAAGGUAGCUUGCUACCGGACCUAGCGGCGGACGGGUGAGUAAUGCUUAGGAAUCUGCCUAUUAGUGGGGGACAACAUCUCGAAAGGGAUGCUAAUACCGCAUACGUCCUACGGGAGAAAGCAGGGGAUCUUCGGACCUUGCGCUAAUAGAUGAGCCUAAGGCGGAUUAGCUAGUUGGUGGGGUAAAGGCCUACCAAGGCGACGAUCUGUAGCGGGUCUGAGAGGAUGAUCCGCCACACUGGGGCUGAGGAACGGCCCAGACUCCUACGGGAGGCAGCAGUGGGGAAUAUUGGACAUUGGGGGGAACCCUGAUCCAGCCAUGCCGCGUGUGUGAAGAAGGCCUUAUGGUUGUAAAGCACUUUAAGCGAGGAGGAGGCUACUCUAGUUAAUACCUAGGGAUAGUGGACGUUACUCGCAGAAUAAGCACCGGCUAACUCUGUGCCAGCCGCCGCAGUAA
RNAcentral lists this ribosomal RNA (501 nucleotides) under uncultured bacterium. RNAcentral describes it as "partial 16S ribosomal RNA". It matches the Rfam family "Bacterial small subunit ribosomal RNA", at positions 30 to 523 of the family's 1533-position model. The record is from RNAcentral.